UAGGUAGGGGUCCUGAGAGGGAGAUCCCCCACACUGGUACUGAGACACGGACCAGACUCCUACGGGAGGCAGCAGUGAGGAAUAUUCCACAAUGGGCGAGAGCCUCAUCCAGCCAUGCCGCGUGCAGGAAGACUGCCCUAUGGGUUGUAAACUGCUUUUAUACAGGAAGAAACACUCGUACGUGUACGAGCUUGACGGUACUGUAAGAAUAA
Molecule: ribosomal RNA, 212 nt
Filed under: uncultured bacterium
Lineage: Bacteria
Description: partial 16S ribosomal RNA
Rfam family: Bacterial small subunit ribosomal RNA
Source: RNAcentral